This 348-nucleotide unclassified non-coding RNA is filed under the name soil metagenome. RNAcentral describes it as "partial contains 5.8S ribosomal RNA, internal transcribed spacer 2, and large subunit ribosomal RNA". The stretch from base 1 to 120 matches the Rfam family "5.8S ribosomal RNA", at positions 35 to 154 of the family's 154-position model. The record is from RNAcentral.
GAUGAAGAACGUAGCGAAAUGCGAUAAGUAAUGUGAAUUGCAGAAUUCAGUGAAUCAUCGAAUCUUUGAACGCACAUUGCGCCCGCCAGUAUUCUGGCGGGCAUGCCUGUCUGAGCGUCAUUUCAACCCUCAUGCCACUAGGGCGUGGUGUUGGGGAUCGGCCAAAGCCCGCGAGGGACGGCCGGCCCCUAAAUCUAGUGGCGGACCCGUCGUGGCCUCCUCUGCGAAGUAGUGAUAUUCCGCAUCGGAGAGCGAUGAGCCCCUGCCGUUAAACCCCCAACUUUCCAAGGUUGACCUCAGAUCAGGUAGGAAUACCCGCUGAACUUAAGCAUAUCAAUAAGCGGAGGA